This 497-nucleotide ribosomal RNA is filed under the name uncultured bacterium. RNAcentral describes it as "partial 16S ribosomal RNA". It matches the Rfam family "Bacterial small subunit ribosomal RNA", at positions 28 to 507 of the family's 1533-position model. The record is from RNAcentral.
GAUGAACGCUCGCGGCGUGCCUAAUACAUGCAAGUCGAGCGAACAGACGAGGAGCUUGCUCCUCUGACGUUAGCGGCGGACGGGUGAGUAACACGUGGAUAACCUACCUAUAAGACUGGGGUAACUUCGGGAAACCGGAGCUAAUACCGGAUAAUAUAUUGAACCGCAUGGUUCAAUAGUGAAAGACGGUUUUGCUGUCACUUAUAGAUGGAUCCGCGCCGCAUUAGCUAGUUGGUAAGGUAACGGCUUACCAAGGCAACGAUGCGUAGCCGACCUGAGAGGGUGAUCGGCCACACUGGAACUGAGACACGGUCCAGACUCCUACGGGAGGCAGCAGUAGGGAAUCUUCCGCAAUGGGCGAAAGCCUGACGGAGCAACGCCGCGUGAGUGAUGAAGGUCUUCGGAUCGUAAAACUCUGUUAUUAGGGAAGAACAAAUGUGUAAGUAACUAUGCACGUCUUGACGGUACCUAAUCAGAAAGCCACGGCUAACUACGUG